AGAGUUUGAUCCUGGCUCAGGAUGAACGCUGGCGGCGUGCUUAACACAUGCAAGUCGAACGAACCUUCGGGUUAGUGGCGGACGGGUGAGUAACGCGUGGGAAUCUGCCCUCAGGAGGGGGAUAACGGUUGGAAACGACCGCUAAUACCCCAUAUGCCGAGAGGUGAAAUGAAUUUCGCCUGAGGAUGAGCCCGCGUCUGAUUAGCUUGUUGGUGAGGUAAUGGCUCACCAAGGCUUCGAUCAGUAGCUGGUCUGAGAGGAUGAUCAGCCACACUGGGACUGAGACACGGCCCAGACUCCUACGGGAGGCAGCAGUGGGGAAUUUUCCGCAAUGGGCGAAAGCCUGACGGAGCAACGCCGCGUGAGGGACGAAGGCCUCUGGGCUGUAAACCUCUUUUCUCAAGGAAGAAGAUAUGACGGUACUUGAGGAAUAAGCCACGGCUAAUUCCGUGCCAGCAGCCGCGGUAAUACGGGAGUGGCAAGCGUUAUCCGGAAUUAUUGGGCGUAAAGCGUCCGCAGGCGGCCUUUCAAGUCUGCUGUUAAAGCGUGGAGCUUAACUCCAUCAUGGCAGUGGAAACUGAUAGGCUUGAGUAUGGUAGGGGCAGAGGGAAUUCCCGGUGUAGCGGUGAAAUGCGUAGAUAUCGGGAAGAACACCAGUGGCGAAGGCGCUCUGCUGGGCCAUAACUGACGCUCAUGGACGAAAGCCAGGGGAGCGAAAGGGAUUAGAUACCCCUGUAGUCCUGGCCGUAAACGAUGAACACUAGGUGUCGGGGGAAUCGACCCCUUCGGUGUCGUAGCUAACGCGUUAAGUGUUCCGCCUGGGGAGUACGCACGCAAGUGUGAAACUCAAAGGAAUUGACGGGGGCCCGCACAAGCGGUGGAGUAUGUGGUUUAAUUCGAUGCAACGCGAAGAACCUUACCAGGGUUUGACAUCCUGCGAACCUUUAAGAAAUUAGAGGGUGCCUUCGGGAACGCAGUGACAGGUGGUGCAUGGCUGUCGUCAGCUCGUGUCGUGAGAUGUUGGGUUAAGUCCCGCAACGAGCGCAACCCACGUUUUUAGUUGCCAGCAUUUAGUUGGGCACUCUAGAAAGACCGCCGGUGAUAAACCGGAGGAAGGUGUGGAUGACGUCAAGUCAUCAUGCCCCUUACAUCCUGGGCUACACACGUACUACAAUGCUACGGACAAAGGGCAGCAAACUCGCGAGAGCUAGCAAAUCCCAUAAACCGUGGCUCAGUUCAGAUCGUAGGCUGCAACUCGCCUACGUGAAGUAGGAAUCGCUAGUAAUCGCAGGUCAGCAUACUGCGGUGAAUACGUUCCCGGGCCUUGUACACACCGCCCGUCACACCAUGGAAGUUGGCCACGCCCGAAGUCGUUACUUUAACCCUUGUGGAGAAGGACGCCGAAGGUGGGGCUGAUGACUGGGGUGAAGUCGUAACAAGGUAGCCGUACCGGAAGGUGCGGCUG
This 1465-nucleotide ribosomal RNA is filed under the name Prochlorococcus marinus str. MIT 0912. RNAcentral describes it as "bacterial SSU rRNA". It matches the Rfam family "Bacterial small subunit ribosomal RNA". RNAcentral also lists the same sequence under 5 other names. The record is from RNAcentral. Lineage: Bacteria; Bacillati; Cyanobacteriota; Cyanophyceae; Synechococcales; Prochlorococcaceae.